UAUCGUGUCCCUGUUUGCAAAGA
RNAcentral lists this non-coding RNA (23 nucleotides) under Mus musculus (house mouse). The record is from RNAcentral. Lineage: Eukaryota; Metazoa; Chordata; Mammalia; Rodentia; Muridae.